RNAcentral lists this ribosomal RNA (444 nucleotides) under uncultured bacterium. RNAcentral describes it as "partial 16S ribosomal RNA". It matches the Rfam family "Bacterial small subunit ribosomal RNA", at positions 338 to 795 of the family's 1533-position model. The record is from RNAcentral.
CCUACGGGCGGCAGCAGUGGGGGAUAUUGGACAAUGGGGGGGAACCCUGAUCCAGCGACGCCGCGUGAGUGAAGAAGUAUUUCGGUAUGUAAAGCUCUGUCAGCAGGGAAGAAAGCAAUGACGGUACCUGACCAAGAAGCCCCGGCUAACUACGUGCCAGCAGCCGCGGUAAUACGUAGGGGGCAAGCGUUAUCCGGACUUACUGGGGGUAAAGGGAGCGUAGACGGCUGUGCAAGGCUGGAGUGAAAGGCGGGGGCCCAACCCCCGGACUGCUCUGGAAACUGUAUGGCUGGAGUGCAGGAGAGGUAAGCGGAAUUCCUAGUGUAGCGGUGAAAUGCGUAGAGAUUAGGAGGAACACCAGUGGCGAAGGCGGCUUACUGGACUGUAACUGACGUUGAGGCUCGAAAGCGUGGGGAGCAAACAGGAUUAGAUACCCUUGUAGUC